UGCGCAGGCGGCCAUGUGUGUCAGGUGUGAAAGCCCGAGGCUCAACCUCGGAAUUGCGCCUGAAACUACAUGGCUAGAGUACUGGAGAGGGUAGCGGAAUUCAUGGUGUAGCAGUGAAAUGCGUAGAUAUCAUGAGGAACACCAGAGGCGAAGGCGGCUACCUGGACAGUUACUGACGCUCAGGCACGAAAGCGUGGGGAGCAAAAGGGAUUAGAUACCCCUGUAGUCCACGCCCUAAACGGUGCACACUAGGUCUUGGCGGAUUCGACCCCACCAGGGCCCAAGCUAACGCGUUAAGUGUGCCGCCUGAGGACUACGGCCGCAAGGCUAAA
RNAcentral lists this ribosomal RNA (332 nucleotides) under uncultured bacterium. RNAcentral describes it as "bacterial SSU rRNA". It matches the Rfam family "Bacterial small subunit ribosomal RNA", at positions 568 to 898 of the family's 1533-position model. The record is from RNAcentral.